This 743-nucleotide ribosomal RNA is filed under the name uncultured bacterium. RNAcentral's name for it is "bacterial SSU rRNA". It matches the Rfam family "Bacterial small subunit ribosomal RNA", at positions 94 to 823 of the family's 1533-position model. The record is from RNAcentral.
AGCGGCGGAUGGGUGAGUAACACGUGGGGAACCUGCCCCUGAGUCUGGGAUACCAUUUGGAAACAGGUGCUAAUACCGGAUAAUAAAGCAGAUCGCAUGAUCAGCUUUUGAAAGGCGGCGUAAGCUGUCGCUAAGGGAUGGCCCCGCGGUGCAUUAGCUAGUUGGUAAGGUAACGGCUUACCAAGGCGACGAUGCAUAGCCGAGUUGAGAGACUGAUCGGCCACAUUGGGACUGAGACACGGCCCAAACUCCUACGGGAGGCAGCAGUAGGGAAUCUUCCACAAUGGACGCAAGUCUGAUGGAGCAACGCCGCGUGAGUGAAGAAGGUUUUCGGAUCGUAAAGCUCUGUUGUUGGUGAAGAAGGAUAGAGGUAGUAACUGGCCUUUAUUUGACGGUAAUCAACCAGAAAGUCACGGCUAACUACGUGCCAGCAGCCGCGGUAAUACGUAGGUGGCAAGCGUUGUCCGGAUUUAUUGGGCGUAAAGCGAGCGCAGGCGGAAAAAUAAGUCUAAUGUGAAAGCCCUCGGCUUAACCGAGGAACUGCAUCGGAAACUGUUUUUCUUGAGUGCAGAAGAGGAGAGUGGAACUCCAUGUGUAGCGGUGGAAUGCGUAGAUAUAUGGAAGAACACCAGUGGCGAACGCGGCUCUCUGGUCUGCAACUGACGCUGAGGCUCGAAAGCAUGGGUAGCGAACAGGAUUAGAUACCCUGGUAGUCCAUGCCGUAAACGAUGAGUGCUAAGUGU